UAGAAAUGUUGAAAGCUACAUUAACACACACAUGAAUGCAGCAUGUCGAAAAGAAAUCAUGAUCUGGAUUGAAGAUCUUGCCAAACAUCACAAGACAAGUCCUACAACUAAUACAACAAUGACAGACAGUGUAGAACAUUGUACUCACUUACGUGAUGCUAACC
Molecule: long non-coding RNA, 164 nt
Organism: Mytilus trossulus (common blue mussel)
Lineage: Eukaryota; Metazoa; Mollusca; Bivalvia; Mytilida; Mytilidae
Exons: 3
Source: RefSeq, a predicted model, not a curated record